GACGAACGCUGGCGGCGUGCCUAAUACAUGCAAGUAGAACGCUGAAGAGAGGAGCUUGCUCUUCUUGGAUGAGUUGCGAACGGGUGAGUAACGCGUAGGUAACCUGCCUUGUAGCGGGGGAUAACUAUUGGAAACGAUAGCUAAUACCGCAUAACAAUGGAUAACACAUGUCAUUUAUUUGAAAGGGGCAAUUGCUCCACUACAAGAUGGACCUGCGUUGUAUUAGCUAGUAGGUGAGGUAAUGGCUCACCUAGGCGACGAUACAUAGCCGACCUGAGAGGGUGAUCGGCCACACUGGGACUGAGACACGGCCCAGACUCCUACGGGAGGCAGCAGUAGGGAAUCUUCGGCAAUGGGGGAAAGCCUGACCGAGCAACGCCGCGUGAGUGAAGAAGGUUUUCGGAUCGUAAAGCUCUGUUGUAAGACAAGAACGGUUGUGAGAGUGGAAAGUUCACAAUGUGACGGUAGCUUACCAGAAAGGGACGGCUAACUACGUG
Molecule: ribosomal RNA, 497 nt
Filed under: uncultured bacterium
Lineage: Bacteria
Description: partial 16S ribosomal RNA
Rfam family: Bacterial small subunit ribosomal RNA
Source: RNAcentral